CACAAGAUGAUUGGCAGCAAGAGUCAACCGGUGAUGAAGGGAUGCGCUCAACUGAAUACAAGUGUCUGUGAACACAAACAUGCAGCAGAGUCGUGAAACCCCUAAAUCCCGUCCAGGCCUUCCAAACAGGACUCCUCUAAUGUCUGUGAACACACACGCAGCAUGGUUGUGAAACCCUUCAAUCCCAUCCAGGCCUUCCACACAGGACCCCUCUAA
Sardina pilchardus (European sardine) is the source of this 216-nucleotide long non-coding RNA. RefSeq lists it as uncharacterized. The transcript is spliced from 3 exons. Lineage: Eukaryota; Metazoa; Chordata; Actinopteri; Clupeiformes; Clupeidae. The record is from RefSeq and is a predicted model, not a curated record.